UUACGGGGAGGCAACCAGUGGGGGAAUAUGGCACAAAUGGGCGGAAAGCCUUAAUGCAAGCGACGCCCGCUUGAAGGGAUGACGGCCUUUCGGGUUUGUAAACCUUCUUUCAGCACGGGAAGAAGCGUAAAGUGACGGGUACGUGCAGAAGAAGCGCCGGCUAACUACGUGCCAGCAGCCGCGGUAAUACGUAGGGCGCAAGCGUUGUCCGGAAUUAUUGGGCGUAAAGAGCUCGUAGGCGGUUUGUCGCGUCUGCUGUGAAAGCCCGGGGCUUAACCCCGGGUGUGCAGUGGGUAUGGGCAGACUUGAGUGCAGUAGGGGAGACUGGAAUUCCUGGUGUAGCGGUGAAAUGCGCAGAUAUCAGGAGGAACACCGAUGGCGAAGGCAGGUCUCUGGGCUGUUACUGACGCUGAGGAGCGAAAGCAUGGGGAGCGAACAGGAUUAGAUACCCUGGUAGUCCAUGCCGUAAACGUUGGGCACUAGGUGUGGGGAACAUUCCACGUUUUCCGCGCCGUAGCUAACGCAUUAAGUGCCCCGCCUGGGGAGUACGGCCGCAAGGCUAAAACUCAAAGGAAUUGACGGGGGCCCGCACAAGCGGCGGAGCAUGCGGAUUAAUUCGAUGCAACGCGAAGAACCUUACCAAGGCUUGACAUACACCGGACCGGGCCAGAGAUGGUCUUUCCCCCUUGUGGGGCUGGUGUACAGGUGGUGCAUGGUUGUCGUCAGCUCGUGUCGUGAGAUGUUGGGUUAAGUCCCGCAACGAGCGCAACCCUCGUUCUAUGUUGCCAGCACGUGAUGGUGGGGACUCAUAGGAGACUGCCGGGGUCAACUCGGAGGAAGGUGGGGAUGACGUCAAAUCAUCAUGCCCCUUAUGUCUUGGGCUUCACGCAUGCUACAAUGGCCAGUACAAUGGGUUGCGAUGCCGCGAGGUGGAGCUAAUCCCAAAAAGCUGGUCUCAGUUCGGAUCGUGGUCUGCAACUCGACCACGUGAAGUCGGAGUCGC
RNAcentral lists this ribosomal RNA (1003 nucleotides) under Kocuria rhizophila. RNAcentral's name for it is "bacterial SSU rRNA". It matches the Rfam family "Bacterial small subunit ribosomal RNA", at positions 339 to 1335 of the family's 1533-position model. The record is from RNAcentral. Lineage: Bacteria; Bacillati; Actinomycetota; Actinomycetes; Micrococcales; Micrococcaceae.